AAAAAAUCUAAAAUAACCCAGUAUUCACUGUGCGCUUCUCCUUCUCCUUCUCAGAAACAAAUUUCUCUCUGUGCUUCUCCUUCUCAAAAACAAAUUUCUUUCUGUCACGCUUCGGACUCGGUUUAUCUAAAGAACCCAGAAUUCGGCUUCUUCUUCUCUUACUAAUCAACCACAAGAACCCAGGGCAGCUAAACAAAACCCAAAGAAGAAACAGUAUCGGCCGGCGACGAUAUUUGAAAUAGUCCUUAUAUCAGUGAGUCUUGGAAUUUAGCACACGGGUCCAGAAGUUCCAUUGGACGAUGAAGUUAUAUAUGUAGACACUGUUCUGGAAAAAAAUUGGCAUUGAAGGUGAAGAUUAGUUUUUGGAUCUUGGUGGGAAAUCUGAUCCCUGUUGGCUAUAUACAAUGCUAGCUAUGGUUGGAUAACAAUUUGAUCAUGGAGAUGAAAUUUGUGGAGUAGUUGUCAAUGUCAGAGCUAGGCAGGAAAAAAUAUCUCUAUGGCUGAAGAAUGCUACAAAUAUAAAGCCUAGGCAACUAGCAUGUUUUGUUCACAUGUAAAUAUAAUAUUUCAACACUAGAGGAAUUACAUGUUUUGUUCACAUGUUUUGUAUAAUCACAUUAUUAAGCGAAUGUAAUCACAUUAUUAAAUUUAAUCCAUUUUGUAUAUAACACUA
Quercus robur (English oak) is the source of this 673-nucleotide long non-coding RNA. RefSeq lists it as uncharacterized. Lineage: Eukaryota; Viridiplantae; Streptophyta; Magnoliopsida; Fagales; Fagaceae. The record is from RefSeq and is a predicted model, not a curated record. The transcript has 4 exons.